RNAcentral lists this ribosomal RNA (513 nucleotides) under Panorpa annexa. Its description in RNAcentral is "partial 16S ribosomal RNA". Lineage: Eukaryota; Metazoa; Arthropoda; Insecta; Mecoptera; Panorpidae. The record is from RNAcentral.
AUGUAAGGUUCAAAGGUCGAACAGACCUAAACUUUGAACUUCUACACCCAAAAAUAACCCUUAAUCCAACAUCGAGGUCGCAAUCUUUUUUGUCGAUAAGAACUCUUAAAAAAAAUUACGCUGUUAUCCCUAAGGUAACUUAGUCUUAUAAUCAGUAAAACUGGAUCAAUAAAUCAAUAAUUAUUGUAAAAAAAAAUAAAAAGAGUUUUAUAAAUCUUCCUGUCACCCCAACAAAAUAUUUAGUUUAAUAAAAUUUAAAAAAUACUAUAAAUAAAUUAUUAUAUAAAUAUAAAGUUCUAUAGGGUCUUCUCGUCCUUUAAUUAUAUUUAAGCCUUUUAACUAAAAAGUUAAAUUAUAAUUUCAUUUAAAUUGAGACAGUUAAUACUUCGUUCAAUCGUUCAUUCUAGCCCUCAAUUAAAAGACUAAUUAUUAUGCUACCUUUGCACGGUCAAAAUACCGCGGCCCUUUAAAAUUUCAGUGGGCAGAUUAGGGCUUUAAAUUAUUUUCUAAAAG